RNAcentral lists this ribosomal RNA (252 nucleotides) under uncultured bacterium. Its description in RNAcentral is "partial 16S ribosomal RNA". It matches the Rfam family "Bacterial small subunit ribosomal RNA", at positions 524 to 776 of the family's 1533-position model. The record is from RNAcentral.
UACGUAGGGGGCUAGCGUUAUCCGGAAUUACUGGGCGUAAAGGGUGCGUAGGUGGUUUCUUAAGUCAGAGGUGAAAGGCUACGGCUCAACCGUAGUAAGCCUUUGAAACUGGGGAACUUGAGUGCAGGAGAGGAGAGUGGAAUUCCUAGUGUAACGGUGAAAUGCGUAGAUAUUAGGAGGAACACCAGUUGCGAAGGCGGCUCUCUGGACUGUAACUGACACUGAGGCACGAAAGCGUGGGGAGCAAACAGG